CGGGUCGUAAAACUCUGUUGUUGGAGAAGAAUGGUCGGCAGAGUAACUGUUGUCGGCGUGACGGUAUCCAACCAGAAAGCCACGGCUAACUACGUGCCAGCAGCCGCGGUAAUACGUAGGUGGCAAGCGUUAUCCGGAUUUAUUGGGCGUAAAGCGAGCGCAGGCGGUUUUUUAAGUCUGAUGUGAAAGCCCUCGGCUUAACCGAGGAAGCGCAUCGGAAACUGGGAAACUUGAGUGCAGAAGAGGACAGUGGAACUCCAUGUGUAGCGGUGAAAUGCGUAGAUAUAUGGAAGAACACCAGUGGCGAAGGCGGCUGUCUGGUCUGUAACUGACGCUGAGGCUCGAAAGCAUGGGUAGCGAACAGGAUUAGAUACCCUGGUAGUCCAUGCCGUAAACGAUGAAUGCUAGGUGUUGGAGGGUUUCCGCCCUUCAGUGCCGCAGCUAACGCAUUAAGCAUUCCGCCUGGGGAGUACGACCGCAAGGUUGAAACUCAAAGGAAUUGACGGGGGCCCGCACAAGCGGUGGAGCAUGUGGUUUAAUUCGAAGCAACGCGAAGAACCUUACCAGGUCUUGACAUCUUUUGAUCACCUGAGAGAUCAGGUUUCCCCUUCGGGGGCAAAAUGACAGGUGGUGCAUGGUUGUCGUCAGCUCGUGUCGUGAGAUGUUGGGUUAAGUCCCGCAACGAGCGCAACCCUUAUGACUAGUUGCCAGCAUUUAGUUGGGCACUCUAGUAAGACUGCCGGUGACAAACCGGAGGAAGGUGGGGAUGACGUCAAAUCAUCAUGCCCCUUAUGACCUGGGCUACACACGUGCUACAAUGGAUGGUACAACGAGUUGCGAGACCGCGAGGUCAAGCUAAUCUCUUAAAGCCAUUCUCAGUUCGGACUGUAGGCUGCAACUCGCCUACACGAAGUCGGAAUCGCUAGUAAUCGCGGAUCAGCACGCCGCGGUGAAUACGUUCCCGGGCCUUGUACACACCGCCCGUCACACCAUGAGAGUUUGUAACACCCGAAGCCGGUGGCGUAACCCUUUUAGGGAGCGAGCCGUCUAAGGUGGGACAAAUGAUUAGGGUGAAGUCGUAACAA
This 1085-nucleotide ribosomal RNA is filed under the name Lacticaseibacillus casei. RNAcentral describes it as "bacterial SSU rRNA". It matches the Rfam family "Bacterial small subunit ribosomal RNA", at positions 419 to 1494 of the family's 1533-position model. Lineage: Bacteria; Bacillati; Bacillota; Bacilli; Lactobacillales; Lactobacillaceae. The record is from RNAcentral.